RNAcentral lists this ribosomal RNA (513 nucleotides) under uncultured bacterium. RNAcentral's name for it is "partial 16S ribosomal RNA". It matches the Rfam family "Bacterial small subunit ribosomal RNA", at positions 28 to 523 of the family's 1533-position model. The record is from RNAcentral.
GACGAACGCUGGCGGCAUGCCUAAUACAUGCAAGUCGAGCGAACAGAUGAAGUGCUUGCACUUCUGACGUUAGCGGCGAACGGGUGAGUAACACGUAAGGAAUCUACCUAUAAGCGGGGGAUAACAUUCGGAAACGGGUGCUAAUACCGCAUAAUAUCUUCUUCCGCAUGGAAGAAGAUUGAAAGACGGCUCUGCUGUCACUUAUAGAUGACCUUGCGGUGCAUUAGUUAGUUGGUGGGGUAAUGGCCUACCAAGACGAUGAUGCAUAGCCGAACUGAGAGGGUGAUCGGCCACCUGGGGACUGAGACACGGCCCAAACUCCUACGGGAGGCAGCAGUAGGGAAUCUUCCGCAAUGGGCGAAAGCCUGACGGAGCAAUGCCGCGUGAGUGAAGAAGGCCUUCGGGUCGUAAAACUCUGUUAUAAGAGAAGAACAAAUUGUAGAGUAACUGCUACAGUCUUGACGGUAUCUUAUCAGAAAGCCACGGCUAACUACGUGCCAGCAGCCGCCGCAG